Molecule: non-coding RNA, 344 nt
Organism: Homo sapiens (human)
Lineage: Eukaryota; Metazoa; Chordata; Mammalia; Primates; Hominidae
Source: the annotation of a RefSeq genome assembly
AUGCUCUUAGUGGUCAUUCUGCUGCUUGGAAUGUUCUUCACACUGAGAACCAGAACCCAGUCGGUGACCCAGCUUGAUGGCCACAUCACUGUCUCUGAAGAAGCCCCUCUGGAACUGAAGUGCAACUAUUCCUAUAGUGGAGUUCCUUCUCUCUUCUGGUAUGUCCAAUACUCUAGCCAAAGCCUCCAGCUUCUCCUCAAAGACCUAACAAAGGCCACCCAGGUUAAAGGCAUCAGAGGUUUUGAGGCUGAAUUUAAGAAGAGCGAAACCUCCUUCUACCUGAGGAAACCAUCAACCCAUGUGAGUGAUGCUGCUGAGUACUUCUGUGCUGUGGGUGACAGGAG